GAUGAAGAACGCAGCGAAAUGCGAUAAGUAAUGUGAAUUGCAGAAUUCAGUGAAUCAUCGAAUCUUUGAACGCACAUUGCGCCCCUUGGUAUUCCGAGGGGCAUGCCUGUUCGAACGUCAUAUUAACCACUCCCGCUUGCGGGGUCUUGGGCUUCGCCUCCGGGCGGGCCUUAAAAUCAGUGGCGGUGCCGUCGGGCUCUACGCGUAGUAAAUUUUCUCGCGAUAGGGUCCCGGUGGAUGCUUGCCAACAACCCCCAACUUCUUAAGGUUGACCUCGGAUCAGGUAGGGAUACCCGCUGAACUUAAGCAUAUCAAUAAGCGGAGGA
Molecule: unclassified non-coding RNA, 326 nt
Filed under: soil metagenome
Description: partial contains 5.8S ribosomal RNA, internal transcribed spacer 2, and large subunit ribosomal RNA
Rfam family: 5.8S ribosomal RNA (bases 1-120)
Source: RNAcentral